GUAGGGAAUAUUGGACAAUGGCUGAAAAGCUGAUCCAGCCAUCCCGCGUGAAGGUAGAAGGUCCUAUGGAUUGUAAACUUCUUUUCUCUGGGAAGAAAACCUCUUAUUCUUAAGAGACUGACGGUACCAGAGGAAUAAGCACCGGCUAACUCCGUGCCAGCAGCCGCGGUAAUACGGAGGGUGCAAGCGUUAUCCGGAUUCACUGGGUUUAAAGGGUGCGUAGGCGGGCUUGUAAGUCAGUGGUGAAAGCCCGGAGCUUAACUCCGGAACUGCCAUUGAUACUGCAAGUCUUGAGUACACUUGAGGUGGGCGGAAUACAUCAUGUAGUGGUGAAAUACUUAGAUAUGAUGUAGAACACCGAUUGCGAAGGCAGCUCACUAAAUUGUAACUGACGCUGAGGCACGAAAGCGUGGGGAUCAAACAGGAUUAGAAACCCCAGUAGUCC
This 445-nucleotide ribosomal RNA is filed under the name uncultured bacterium. RNAcentral's name for it is "bacterial SSU rRNA". It matches the Rfam family "Bacterial small subunit ribosomal RNA", at positions 354 to 796 of the family's 1533-position model. The record is from RNAcentral.